GAUGAACGCUGGCGGCGUGCUUAACACAUGCAAGUCGAACGGAAAGGCCCAAGCUUGCUUGGGUACUCGAGUGGCGAACGGGUGAGUAACACGUGGGUGAUCUGCCCUGCACUUCGGGAUAAGCCUGGGAAACUGGGUCUAAUACCGGAUAGGACCACUUCUUGGAUGUUGUGGUGGAAAGUUUUUUCGGUGUGGGGUGAGCUCGCGGCCUAUCAGCUUGUUGGUGGGGUAAUGGCCUACCAAGGCGUCGACGGGUAGCCGGCCUGAGAGGGUGUACGGCCACAUUGGGACUGAGAUACGGCCCAGACUCCUACGGGAGGCAGCAGUGGGGAAUAUUGCACAAUGGGCGCAAGCCUGAUGCAGCGACGCCGGGUGGGGGAUGACGGCCUUCGGGUUGUAAACUCCUUUCGCUAGGGACGAAGCGUUUUGUGACGGUACCUGGAGAAGAAGCACCGGCUAACUACGUG
This 467-nucleotide ribosomal RNA is filed under the name uncultured bacterium. Its description in RNAcentral is "partial 16S ribosomal RNA". It matches the Rfam family "Bacterial small subunit ribosomal RNA", at positions 28 to 507 of the family's 1533-position model. The record is from RNAcentral.